Non-coding RNA from Rhizobiales bacterium TMED25, 90 nucleotides. NCBI's taxonomy places the organism in Bacteria, Pseudomonadati, Pseudomonadota, Alphaproteobacteria, Hyphomicrobiales. The record is from Rfam.
AAAUCAUGACAGGGGUGCCUUAUGGGCUGAGAUAAACCCUUUUAACCUGAUCCAGAUAAUGCUGGCGGAGGAAGUCAUGAUGAAUUUCUU